GUCCUACGGGCGGCUGCAGUGGGGAAUAUUGGACAAUGGGCGCAAGCCUGAUCCAGCAAUGCCGCGUGAGUGAUGAAGGCCUUAGGGUUGUAAAGCUCUUUCACCGGGGAAGAUAAUGACGGUACCCGGAGAAGAAGCCCCGGCUAACUCCGUGCCAGCAGCCGCGGUAAUACGGAGGGGGCUAGCGUUGUUCGGAAUUACUGGGCGUAAAGCGCGCGUAGGCGGCCUGACAAGUUGGAGGUGAAAGCCCGGAGCUCAACUUCGGAAUUGCCUUCAAGACUGUCUCGCUCGAGGCAGGGAGAGGAGAGCGGAAUACCCAGUGUAGAGGUGAAAUUCGUAGAUAUUGGGUGGAACACCGGUGGCGAAGGCGGCUCUCUGGCCCUGAUCUGACGCUAAGGCGCGAAAGCGUGGGGAGCAAACAGGAUUAGAUACCCCAGUAGUCUCA
RNAcentral lists this ribosomal RNA (445 nucleotides) under uncultured Alphaproteobacteria bacterium. RNAcentral's name for it is "bacterial SSU rRNA". It matches the Rfam family "Bacterial small subunit ribosomal RNA", at positions 335 to 797 of the family's 1533-position model. The record is from RNAcentral. Lineage: Bacteria; Pseudomonadati; Pseudomonadota; Alphaproteobacteria.